GACGAACGCUGGCGGCGUGCUUAACACAUGCAAGUCGAACGCUGAAGCUCAGCUUUUGUUGGGUGGAUGAGUGGCGAACGGGUGAGUAACACGUGAGUAACCUGCCCCCUUCUUUGGGAUAACGCCCGGAAACGGGUGCUAAUACUGGAUAUUCACUGGUCUUCGCAUGGGGGUUGGUGGAAAGGGUUUUUCUGGUGGGGGAUGGGCUCGCGGCCUAUCAGCUUGUUGGUGGGGUGAUGGCCUACCAAGGCUUUGACGGGUAGCCGGCCUGAGAGGGUGACCGGUCACAUUGGGACUGAGAUACGGCCCAGACUCCUACGGGGGGCAGCAGUGGGGAAUAUUGCACAAUGGGCGCAAGCCUGAUGCGGCGCCGCCGCGUGAGGGAUGGAGGCCUUCGGGUUGUGAACCUCUUUCGCUCAUGGUCAAGCCGCAACAAUGGUUGUGGUGAGGGUAGUGGGUAAAGAAGCGCCGGCUAACUACGUG
Molecule: ribosomal RNA, 483 nt
Filed under: uncultured bacterium
Lineage: Bacteria
Description: partial 16S ribosomal RNA
Rfam family: Bacterial small subunit ribosomal RNA
Source: RNAcentral